RNAcentral lists this ribosomal RNA (498 nucleotides) under uncultured bacterium. RNAcentral's name for it is "partial 16S ribosomal RNA". It matches the Rfam family "Bacterial small subunit ribosomal RNA", at positions 28 to 507 of the family's 1533-position model. The record is from RNAcentral.
GACGAACGCUGGCGGCGUGCCUAAUACAUGCAAGUCGAACGAGAGCGACCGGUGCUUGCACUGGUCAAUCUAGUGGCGAACGGGUGAGUAACACGUGGGUAACCUGCCCAUCAGAGGGGGAUAACAUCCGGAAACGGAUGCUAAAACUGCAUAGGUCUUCGAACCGCAUGGUUUGAAGAGGAAAAGAGGCGCAAGCUUCUGCUGAUGGAUGGACCCGCGGUGCAUUAGCUAGUUGGUGAGGUAACGGCUCACCAAGGCCGUGAUGCAUAGCCGACCUGAGAGGGUGAUCGGCCACAUUGGGACUGAGACACGGCCCAAACUCCUACGGGAGGCAGCAGUAGGGAAUCUUCCGCAAUGGACGCAAGUCUGACGGAGCAACGCCGCGUGAGUGAAGAAGGUUUUCGGAUCGUAAAACUCUGUUGUUAGAGAAGAACAAGUGCUAGAGUAACUGUUAGCGCCUUGACGGUAUCUAACCAGAAAGCCACGGCUAACUACGUG